This 440-nucleotide ribosomal RNA is filed under the name uncultured bacterium. RNAcentral's name for it is "partial 16S ribosomal RNA". It matches the Rfam family "Bacterial small subunit ribosomal RNA", at positions 338 to 795 of the family's 1533-position model. The record is from RNAcentral.
CCUACGGGUGGCAGCAGUGGGGAAUAUUGCACAAUGGGGGAAACCCUGAUGCAGCGACGCCGCGUGAGUGAAGAAGUAAUUCGUUAUGUAAAGCUCUAUCAGCAGGGAAGAAAAUGACGGUACCUGAGUAAGAAGCCCCGGCUAACUACGUGCCAGCAGCCGCGGUAAUACAGAGGUCUCAAGCGUUGUUCGGAAUCACUGGGCGUAAAGCGUGCGUAGGCUGUUUCGUAAGUCGUGUGUGAAAGGCGCGGGCUCAACCCGCGGACGGCACAUGAUACUGCGAGACUAGAGUAAUGGAGAGGUAAGUGGAAUUCCUAGUGUAGCGGUGAAAUGCGUAGAUAUUAGGAGGAACACCAGUGGCGAAGGCGGCUUACUGGACUGUAACUGACGUUGAGGCUCGAAAGCGUGGGGAGCAAACAGGAUUAGAUACCCGAGUAGUC